CAGUUUCGUUUAUGUUGCUGGGCUCUGGAGGCAAACAGAGCACGAAGAGGCAAGUACCAUGUCCCCAUGUCCCCAUGGGGCAGCGGUUUUGUCGCUGUUGAUGUUGUUACAGGGUGGUUAAGCUUCACCAGUGGCCUCCUUCCCGAGGCAGUUCCCUGCUCUCCCCUGCUAGAGGGGCACCCUAAUCCAUUCUCACCCCAUCCGAUUUAAGAAUGUACUCUUUAAGUUUGGCAACUCGCCACCAGCAUCCAACCAAAUCUAGCGGAUCAACGGCGCGUCAACUUAGUUCCUGGACAGCUCGCAAGUUGAUUUUAUCACGUCCUUUACCGUCCACAAGAUGUGGGGCCCCUUCCCAUUUCGUCACCUCUCAAACACCCCGAGAGGUCGGCAGGCGGAUUGAACCCGGACGCGCCGGGAGCAGAAGCCAGGCCUUAACCUCUGCCACUCGCCUGCCUGUUGUGGUAUAAAUAGCCGAAGCGAGGAUCAAAAACACGUGUUAUUGGAAUCCCCAGCCUAUAAUGAUAUUCGUGCUGAAGAGG
This 539-nucleotide long non-coding RNA is filed under the name Volvox carteri. RNAcentral's name for it is "long non-coding RNA (VCAR_LNC002507)". The record is from RNAcentral. Lineage: Eukaryota; Viridiplantae; Chlorophyta; Chlorophyceae; Chlamydomonadales; Volvocaceae.